RNAcentral lists this ribosomal RNA (459 nucleotides) under Chortophaga viridifasciata (green-striped grasshopper). RNAcentral describes it as "partial 16S ribosomal RNA". It matches the Rfam family "Archaeal large subunit ribosomal RNA", at positions 1945 to 2645 of the family's 2987-position model. Lineage: Eukaryota; Metazoa; Arthropoda; Insecta; Orthoptera; Acrididae. The record is from RNAcentral.
UUUGACCUGCUCACUGAAUUUGUUUUAAAGAGCCGCGGUAUUUUGACCGUGCAAAGGUAGCAUAAUCAUUAGUUUCUUAAUUAGAGGCUGGAAUGAAUGGUUUGACGAGAAAUUAACUGUCUCUUAAUAAAUUUUAUAAUUUAACUUUUAAGUUAAAAGGCUUAAAUUUUUCUUUAGGACGAGAAGACCCUAUAGAGCUUUACAUUUUAAUUUAAUAUUUUUUUUAUUAUCUUUUUAUAUUAAUUGUUGAUGUUUUGUUGGGGUGACAUGAAGAAUAAAUAAACUCUUCAUUAUUAAAUCAUUAAUUUAUGUUUAAAUGAUCCAUAAUUUAUGAUCAUAAGAUUAAGUUACCUUAGGGAUAACAGCGUAAUUGUUUUUGAGAGCUCAUAUCGACGAAACAGAUUGCGACCUCGAUGUUGGAUUAAGAUUAAUUUUGGGUGCAGUAGCUCAAUAAUUAGG